RNAcentral lists this ribosomal RNA (377 nucleotides) under uncultured Glomus. RNAcentral describes it as "SSU rRNA". It matches the Rfam family "Eukaryotic small subunit ribosomal RNA", at positions 569 to 951 of the family's 1831-position model. The record is from RNAcentral. Lineage: Eukaryota; Fungi; Glomeromycota; Glomeromycetes; Glomerales; Glomeraceae.
AGCAGCCGCGGUAAUUCCAGCUCCAAUAGCGUAUAUUAAAGUUGUUGCAGUUAAAAAGCUCGUAGUUGAAUUUCGGGGUUAGUAGGUUGGUCGUGCCACUGGUACGUACUGGUCUCACUGACUCCUCCUUCCUGAUGAACUGUAAUGCCAUUAAUUUGGUGUUGCAGGGAAACUGGACUGUUACUUUGAAAAAUUGAGUGUUUAAAGCAAGCUAACGCUUGAAUACAUUAGCAUGGAAUAAUGAAAUAGGACGUUCGAUCCUAUUUUGUUGGUUUCUAGGAUUGACGUAAUGAUUAAUAGGGAUAGUUGGGGCAUUAGUAUUCAAUUGUCAGAGGUGAAAUUCUUGGAUUCAUUGAAGUACUAACUACUGACGAAAG